AUUGAACGCUGGCGGCAGGCCUAACACAUGCAAGUCGAACGGUAACAGGAAGAAGCUUGCUUCUUUGCUGACGAGUGGCGGACGGGUGAGUAAUGUCUGGGAAACUGCCUGAUAGAGGGGGAUAACUACUGGAAACGGUAGCUAAUACCGCAUAACGUCGCAAGACCAAAAAGGGGGACCUUCGGGCCUCUUGCCAUCGGAUGUGCCCAGAUGGGAUUAGCUAGUAGGUGGGGUAACGGCUCACCUAGGCGACGAUCCCUAGCUGGUCUGAGAGGAUGACCAGCCACACUGGAACUGAGACACGGUCCAGACUCCUACGGGAGGCAGCAGUGGGGAAUAUUGCACAAUGGGCGCAAGCCUGAUGCAGCCAUGCCGCGUGUAUGAAGAAGGCCUUCGGGUUGUAAAGUACUUUCAGCGGGGAGGAAGGGAGUAAAGUUAAUACCUUUGCUCAUUGACGUUACCCGCAGAAGAAGCACCGGCUAACUCCGUG
Molecule: ribosomal RNA, 490 nt
Filed under: uncultured bacterium
Lineage: Bacteria
Description: partial 16S ribosomal RNA
Rfam family: Bacterial small subunit ribosomal RNA
Source: RNAcentral